This 253-nucleotide ribosomal RNA is filed under the name uncultured bacterium. Its description in RNAcentral is "partial 16S ribosomal RNA". It matches the Rfam family "Bacterial small subunit ribosomal RNA", at positions 524 to 776 of the family's 1533-position model. The record is from RNAcentral.
UACGAAGGUGUCUAGCGUUGUUCGGAAUCACUGGGCGUAAAGCGCGCGCAGGCGGACUAUCAAGUCAGGGGUGAAAGCCCGAGGCUCAACCUCGGAAUUGCCUUUGAAACUGAUAGUCUGGAGUGCAAUAGGGGAUAGCGGAAUUCCAAAUGUAGAGGUGAAAUUCGUAGAUAUUUGGAGGAACACCGGUGGCGAAGGCGGCUAUCUGGAUUGCAACUGACGCUGAGGCGCGAAAGCGUGGGGAUCAAACAGG